This 220-nucleotide ribosomal RNA is filed under the name uncultured Glomus. RNAcentral's name for it is "partial small subunit ribosomal RNA". It matches the Rfam family "Eukaryotic small subunit ribosomal RNA", at positions 591 to 817 of the family's 1831-position model. The record is from RNAcentral. Lineage: Eukaryota; Fungi; Glomeromycota; Glomeromycetes; Glomerales; Glomeraceae.
CCAAUAGCGUAUAUUAAAGUUGUUGCAGUUAAAAAGCUCGUAGUUGAAUUUCGGGAUCAGUUGGUCGGUCGUGCCUCGGUACGUACUGGUCAAAUUGAUUCCUACCUUCUGACGAACCACGAUGUCAUUAAUUUGGUGUCGCGGGGAAUCAGGACUGUUACUUUGAAAAAAUUAGUGUGUUUAAAGCAGGCUCGCGCUUGAAUACAUUAGCAUGGAAUAA